AUCCAUGGCCAUACCAACUUGAACGCACUUGAACUCGUCUGAUCUUGGAAGCUAAGCAGGGUCGGGCCUGGUUAGUAUGUGGAUGGGAGGCCGCCUGGCAAUACCGGUUUCUGAAGUCU
Molecule: ribosomal RNA, 119 nt
Organism: Cercocebus atys (sooty mangabey)
Lineage: Eukaryota; Metazoa; Chordata; Mammalia; Primates; Cercopithecidae
Source: Ensembl